GCCGGGCGUGGUGGCUCACGCCUGUAAUCCCAGCACUUUGGGAGGCUGAGGCAGGCGGAUCACCUGAGGUUGGGAGUUCGAGACCAGCCUGACCAACAUGGAGAAACCCUGUCUCUA
RNAcentral lists this non-coding RNA (117 nucleotides) under Chlorocebus sabaeus (green monkey). The record is from Rfam by way of RNAcentral. Lineage: Eukaryota; Metazoa; Chordata; Mammalia; Primates; Cercopithecidae.